ACAGGUUUCGCUGGUACAGCGGAAGGGAUCAUUACCGAGUUGCAAAACUCCCAAACCCACUGUGAACCUAUCCAUCUGUUGCGUUCGGCGGAUACGCCCCGGGCGCACCCCCUCCAGGGGGUUGUGCCCCGGAACCAGGCGCCCGCCGGGGGACCGAAACCUCUGUAUUUACCGUUUGAGUACUCUGAGUGUGAUUUACAAAAUCAAAAUUAAAACUUUUCAACAACGGAUCUCUUGGCUCUAGCAUCGAUGAAGAACGCAGCGAAAUGCGAUAAGUAAUGCGAAUUGCAGAAUUCAGUGAAUCAUCGAAUCUUUGAACGCACAUUGCGCCCGCCAGUAUUCUGGCGGGCAUGCCUGUCUGAGCGUCGUUUCGACCCUCGCGCCCGGCUUCUGUCGGGGGCGGUGUUGGGGAUCGGCCACACCCACUCCGGUGGGAGGCCGGCCCCUAAAUCCAGUGGCGACCACGCUGUAGCCUCCCCUGCGUAGUACUAAAACCACCUCGCAGGCGGAGAGCGGUGCGGCCCGCCGUAAAACCCCCCAACUUUUACAAGGUCGACCUCAGAUCAGGUAGGAAUACCCGCUGAACUUAAGCAUAUCAAUAAGCGGAGGAAAAGAAACCAACAGGGAUUGCCUCAGUAACGGCGAGUGAAGCGGCAACAGCUCAAAUUUGAAAUCUGGCCCCAGGCCCGAGUUGUAAUUUGCAGAGGAUGUUUCUGGCGAGGUGCCUUCCGAGUUCCCUGGAACGGGACGCCAUAGAGGGUGAGAGCCCCGUACGGUUGGUCGCUAAGCCUCUGUGAAACUCCUUCGACGAGUCGAGUAGUUUGGGAAUGCUGCUCUAAAUGGGAGGUGUACGCCUUCUCAAGCUAAAUACCGGCUAGAGACCGAUAGCGCACAAGUAGAGUGAUCGAAAGAUGAAAAGCACUUUGAAAAGAGGGUUUAAAUAGUACGUGAAAUUGUUGAAAGGGAAGCGCUCUUGACCAAGACUUGCGCCGGUUGAUCAUCCACCGUUCUCGGUGGUGCACUCUGCCGGCUCAGGCCAGCAUCAGUUUCGGCCCGGGGGAUAAAGGCUUCGGGAAUGUGGCUCUCUCCAGGGAGUGUUAUAGCCCGUUGCGUAAUACCCUGGGCCGGACUGAGGUUCGCGCAUCUGCAUGAUGCUGGCGAAUAGCAUAAGGACCC
Molecule: ribosomal RNA, 1176 nt
Filed under: Ascomycota sp. L331
Lineage: Eukaryota; Fungi; Ascomycota
Description: eukaryotic LSU rRNA
Rfam family: Eukaryotic large subunit ribosomal RNA (bases 554-1176)
Source: RNAcentral